UACGGAGGGGGCUAGCGUUGUUCGGAAUUACUGGGCGUAAAGCGCACGUAGGCGGCUUUGUAAGUUAGAGGUGAAAGCCCGGGGCUCAACUCCGGAAUUGCCUUUAAGACUGCAUCGCUAGAAUUGUGGAGAGGUAAGUGGAAUUCCGAGUGUAGAGGUGGAAUUCGUAGAUAUUCGGAAGAACACCAGUGGCGAAGGCGACUUACUGGACACAUAUUGACGCUGAGGUGCGAAAGCGUGGGGAGCAAACAGG
This 253-nucleotide ribosomal RNA is filed under the name uncultured bacterium. Its description in RNAcentral is "partial 16S ribosomal RNA". It matches the Rfam family "Bacterial small subunit ribosomal RNA", at positions 524 to 776 of the family's 1533-position model. The record is from RNAcentral.